AUUGAACGCUGGCGGCAGGCCUAACACAUGCAAGUCGAAUGGUAACAGGAAACAGCUUGCUGUUUCGCUGACGAGUGGCGGACGGGUGAGUAAUGUCUGGGAAACUGCCUGAUGGAGGGGGAUAACUACUGGAAACGGUAGCUAAUACCGCAUAACGUCGCAAGACCAAAGAGGGGGACCUUCGGGCCUCUUGCCAUCAGAUGUGCCCAGAUGGGAGUAGCUAGUAGGUGGGGUAACGGCUCACCUAGGCGACGAUCCCUAGCUGGUCUGAGAGGAUGACCAGCCACACUGGAACUGAGACACGGUCCAGACUCCUACGGGAGGCAGCAGUGGGGAAUAUUGCACAAUGGGCGCAAGCCUGAUGCAGCCAUGCCGCGUGUAUGAAGAAGGCCUUCGGGUUGUAAAGUACUUUCAGCGGGGAGGAAGGGAGUAAAGUUAAUACCUUGGCUCAUUGACGUUACCCGCAGAAGAAGCACCGGCUAACUCCGUG
This 490-nucleotide ribosomal RNA is filed under the name uncultured bacterium. RNAcentral's name for it is "partial 16S ribosomal RNA". It matches the Rfam family "Bacterial small subunit ribosomal RNA", at positions 30 to 507 of the family's 1533-position model. The record is from RNAcentral.